GCUUGUCUCAAAGAUUAAGCCAUGCAUGUCUAAGUACAAGCCUCAGUAAGGUGAAACCGCGAAUGGCUCAUUAAAUCACACCUAAUCUACUGGAAAGUUACUAGUUACUUGGAUAACUGAGGUAAUUCUUGAGCUAAUACAUGCGAAAAAUCUCGACUCACGGAGAGAUGCUUUUAUUAGACCAAAACCAAUGGGAUCGCAAGAUCCCUUUGUAUGGUGACUCUGGAUAACUUUGUGCUGAUCGCAUGGCCUAGAGCCGGCGACGUAUCUUUCAAGUGUCUGCCCUAUCAACUUUCGAUGGUAAGCGAUUUGCCUACCAUGGUUGUAACGGGUAACGGGGAAUCAGGGUUCGAUUCCGGAGAGGGAGCAUGAGAAAUGGCUACCACAUCUAAGGAAGGCAGCAGG
RNAcentral lists this ribosomal RNA (405 nucleotides) under Scaridium longicaudum. RNAcentral describes it as "partial small subunit ribosomal RNA". It matches the Rfam family "Eukaryotic small subunit ribosomal RNA", at positions 30 to 432 of the family's 1831-position model. Lineage: Eukaryota; Metazoa; Rotifera; Eurotatoria; Ploima; Scaridiidae. The record is from RNAcentral.